GGGCACAUUCCAUUAUCCCAUCCUAUCCCAUUAUCCCAUCCCAUUAUCCCAUAUCCCAAAUCCCUCAUAGCAAAUCCCAUACCCCAAGUCCCAUUUCCCAAAUCCCAAAUCCCAUAUCCCACAUCCCAUAUCCCAUUAUCCCACAUCCCAUAUCCCAUUAUCCCACAUCCCACAUCCCAUUAUCCCAUCCUAUCCCACCAUCCCAUCACCCCGUUAUCCCAAACCCGGCCGAUCCGCGCCGCUCCGCGCUCCGCAGGGACAUCGCCGCCCGGAACGUCCUGGUGGCCUCCCCGGAAUGCGUCAAGCUCGGCGACUUCGGCCUCUCCCGCUACGUCGAGGACGAGGAGUACUACAAAGGUAGGAUCCCGCCGGAUCGCCGAUCCCGCCGG
This 389-nucleotide long non-coding RNA is filed under the name Chloebia gouldiae (Gouldian finch). RNAcentral describes it as "Erythrura gouldiae (Gouldian finch) lncRNA (ENSEGOG00005010749.1)". Lineage: Eukaryota; Metazoa; Chordata; Aves; Passeriformes; Passeridae. The record is from RNAcentral.